UUCUUAUCAAGAGCGGCGGAGGGACAGGCCCUGUGAAGCCCGGCAACAACCAGCAUAGCUGGAAAUGUGCUAAUUCCUGCAGUGUUUAUUUUACUGGAAGAUGAGAA
RNAcentral lists this non-coding RNA (107 nucleotides) under Peptoclostridium acidaminophilum. RNAcentral describes it as "SAM-I sequence". It matches the Rfam family "SAM riboswitch aptamer (S box leader)". Rfam says of the family: The SAM riboswitch is found upstream of a number of genes which code for proteins involved in methionine or cysteine biosynthesis in Gram-positive bacteria. Lineage: Bacteria; Bacillati; Bacillota; Clostridia; Peptostreptococcales; Peptoclostridiaceae. The record is from RNAcentral. RNAcentral also lists the same sequence under 1 other name.